This 84-nucleotide transfer RNA is filed under the name Aureimonas altamirensis. RNAcentral describes it as "tRNA-Leu". Lineage: Bacteria; Pseudomonadati; Pseudomonadota; Alphaproteobacteria; Hyphomicrobiales; Aurantimonadaceae. The record is from RNAcentral.
GCUUCGGUCAGGCCCCGGAAACGCUGGGCAUAGUCUCCCUUGGUAAGGGAGAGGUCGAGAGUUCAAUCCUCUCUCGCAGCACCA